CUCUCAUACCAUUGAUCGGGCACUGUGUGAUCGGGACUGUUACUUGACGUGCUUGCGCGGGACAAGACUUGUUGAUUGCUUGCGCGGGGUAAGGCUUGAGUUGCUCGCGCGGGGCAAGGCUUUUUUGAUUGCUUGCGCGGGGCAAAGCUUUAGUUGCUUGCGCGAAGCAAGGCUUUUUUGAUUGCUUGCGCAGGGUAAGGCUUGAGUUGCUUGUACGAGGCAAGGCUUUUUGUAGCUAGAUCAUAUUUUGACGAAUUGCUUAAUUCUGAUUAUACUUUAAAAACAGACUUGGCACGCAGGCCUGACAACUAAAAACGUGAACCUUGGCAUGCAGGCCUGACUAUCGAAAAAUAAAACUUGGCACGCAGGCCUGACAAUUGAAAACGUGAACCUUGAUGCGCAGGCCUGACUACAAAUAACUGGAAGACCAAGUUACUUGUAAUAUAUCUUUAAAUUCUCGGCGUUGCAUGGUCUUGGAAGCGACCUUCCUGACGUAUCCCUUAAACUGUAUGCGCCUCCUUGGAGUUGUCGUAUGACUUCGAAGGGCCCUUCCCAAACUGGUCCUAGCUUGCCCGGGGCAUGACCUGUUACUUUAGCCCUUCUUAACACAAGGUCUCCGGCUCUAAAUCUCCGCGUCCUUACUUUUUUAUUGAAGUACUUUGCUAUUUUAUACUGGUAGGAAGCCAUUUUUAAAGCUGCCCGAUCCUGAACUUCUUCCAAGAGGUCGAGGUGUUCAGUUGUGCGCCCUGCAUCUUCGGGCUCGAGCCUCCUUUGGCUGGGCAACCUGACUUCAACAGGGAUGGUGGCCUCAAUUCCAAAAGCCAACAUGAAGGGGGUUUCCCCUGUAGCAGUUUUGUGUGACGUUCUAUACGUCCAAAGUAUGAAAGGCAACUCGUCAGACCAGGAACCUCUUGCAUCACCGAUCCUUGUACGGAGGUCUUGCAAUAUAAUCCGAUUGGUCACUUCGACGAGACCAUUACUUUGAGGAUGGGAAACCGAUGUCAAACGGUGAUCAACCCCUAGGUCGGUAUAAAAGUUUUUAAAUUGUGCAUUGUCAAAUUGCCUGCCAUUAUCAGUUAUGAGGUCUUUCGAUAUCCCGAACCUACAUAUGAUGGAUCUCCAAAUGAAACUUCUUAACUUCGGCUCUGAAAUUGUUGCUAAAGGCUCGGCCUCUACCCACUUAGUGAAAAACUCUACAGCCACAGCCACAAACUUCAAUUGUCCCCUACUUAUUGGAAAGGGACCAAGGAUGUCAAUUCCCCACUACUCAAAUGGGGCUGUGCAAGUAAUGCUAGUGAGGUCUUCUGCGGGAGGGUGGAUGACAUUGCCAGAUCUUUGGCACUUGUCACACUUCUUGACAUAUUCCUGGGCGUCUUUCUUCAUGGUUGGCCAAUAAUAUCAAUACCUUAUGAGCUUGAAGGCUAAAUCCCGUUCUCCUUGAUGGUUCCCAAAUACACCUUCAUGAACUUCUUCUAGGGCCUGGGAUGAUUCGGAAGGCCUAAGGCAUCUGAGGUACGGAAGUGUGAGGCUCCUGCGAAAUAAAAUACCUUCAAUCAUGCAAUACCUCGGAGCUUUGGACCGGAUGCUUCUCGCUGCCCGAGGAUCUGUUGGAAGACUGCCAUGUUUUAUAAAGUCCACUAUUGGGUCCAUCCAUGAUGUCUCAUUAUCAAUAUCCAUGACGUCUACAGUCUGAUUGAUGCUUGGCUCGGUUACAAUUCUGACGUGGACUGUCCUGUCAAGCCCCUCUAAUCCCAUGAACACCAAUCUUGACAAGACAUCUGCCCUACAAUUCUCAACCCGAGAAAUUUUUACAAUUUCACAACUCUUGAACUUUCU
Molecule: long non-coding RNA, 1836 nt
Filed under: Olea europaea subsp. europaea
Lineage: Eukaryota; Viridiplantae; Streptophyta; Magnoliopsida; Lamiales; Oleaceae
Source: RNAcentral